RNAcentral lists this ribosomal RNA (870 nucleotides) under Triticum aestivum (bread wheat). RNAcentral's name for it is "partial small subunit ribosomal RNA". Lineage: Eukaryota; Viridiplantae; Streptophyta; Magnoliopsida; Poales; Poaceae. The record is from RNAcentral.
AUGUUGCGGGAGCAGGCAGCUGCCGUCAGGUCGCAGGAGGCCGCGCGGUGGUCGCCAUGCCACGCGCCGGACGAGGAGGAGUCGGAGAUCGUGGCGCGGUUCCUGACGGCGCCGUACCCGUGCUUCGACGGCGGCUACGACUUCCUCGGCGAGCCCGACGUGUCGCUCGGGAUCAACACGCUCUCCUACUGCGGCUCCAUCGACCUCAACCUCUCCCGGAAGGAGGAGAGGGCCGGCAAGCGUGGUGGCAAUGGCAACAUGGUCCCCGGCCCUUCGCCCCCCGCUGGUCGCGGUCGCGUCCGCGCUGGUGCUGGUUACCUCCUCAGCGAUCGCGACAGCAAUGGCGACGGUGCCGCCGCAACGCCGAAGCGGAAGGUUUUUCAGGCCGGCCAUGCCCAUGAUCAGGGAGGGGAUCUUGGACGGCACAAGAAGAAGGCUCGAGCUGCAGAUCACAAGGGGGAGAAGUCUGUCACAUUCAAGACCAAGAUGCCGCAGCAGAAGCGGCGAUCCAGCAGCUACUGCUCGGACAACGAGUCCAAUUGCUCCCAGGGGGACGGCGGCGAGGAGGCCAACGUCGCCGGCGGCGGCACCGUGAAAGUGCGGGCCGGCCGCGGGUCUGCGGCCGAUCCCCAGAGCCUCUAUGCGAAGAGAAGAAGGGAGAAGAUUAACGACAGACUCCGAGUCCUGCAGAAGCUGGUGCCCAACGGAACCAAAGUGGAUCUCAGCACUAUGCUGGAGGAGGCAGUCCUCUACGUCAAGUUCUUGCAGCUACAGAUCAAGGUGCUCAGCUCUGACGAGAUGUGGAUGUACGCGCCGCUCGCUUACAGCGGCAUGAGCUUCGGAAUCGAUCUGAGGAUCACCCCUCAGUGA